GACGAACGCUGGCGGCGUGCUUAACAAAUGCAAGUCGAACGCUGAAGCUCAGCUUUUGUUGGGUGGAUGAGUGGCGAACGGGUGAGUAACACGUGAGUAACCUGCCUCCUUCUUUGGGAUAACGCCCGGAAACGGGUGCUAAUACUGGAUAUUCACUGGUCUUCGCAUGGGGGUUGGUGGAAAGGGUUUUUCUGGUGGGGGAUGGGCUCGCGGCCUAUCAGCUUGUUGGUGGGGUGAUGGCCUACCAAGGCUUUGACGGGUAGCCGGCCUGAGAGGGUGACCGGCCACAUUGGGACUGAGGUCCGGCCCAGACGCCUACGGGAGGCAGCAGUGGGGAAUAUUGCACAAUGGGCGCAAGCCUGAUGCAGCGACGCCGCGUGAGGGAUGGAGGCCUUCGGGUUGUGAACCUCUUUCGCUCAUGGUCAAGCCGCAACAAUGGUUGUGGUGAGGGUAGUGGGUAAAGAAGCGCCGGCUAACUACGUG
This 483-nucleotide ribosomal RNA is filed under the name uncultured bacterium. Its description in RNAcentral is "partial 16S ribosomal RNA". It matches the Rfam family "Bacterial small subunit ribosomal RNA", at positions 28 to 507 of the family's 1533-position model. The record is from RNAcentral.